This is a long non-coding RNA of Felis catus (domestic cat), 1379 nucleotides long. RefSeq lists it as uncharacterized. NCBI's taxonomy places the organism in Eukaryota, Metazoa, Chordata, Mammalia, Carnivora, Felidae. The record is from RefSeq and is a predicted model, not a curated record. The transcript is spliced from 3 exons.
GCGGGACCAAGACCCACAGCGCCCUCUCCAAACCCCGCACCUCCACGCUCACGCGGGGCUCCCGUCCUCACGUGUGUCCCGUGCCAGGAGAGGCCUUGGAUGCAGGGCAUGGCCCCGACUUUGGGGCGAAAUGUCUAUGUGGAGGAGCGCAAAACGCCUCCCCCACCUCGGGCUAGGAGCCGACUUUAGAAUCGUGUCCAGGACCCGGCAGGCCGGCGGGACAGGGCGGGCCUGUUCCAGGACUACCACUCCCAGAGGAAGCAGGAAAGUCUGCAGCAGAAAAUACAGCGACAAGUUCUAAGCUGAAUAACAGACGGAAAGUUUGACAGCAGAAAGUAAACUAAAGACCAGUCACUGAAAAACACAGAUACGGUGCUGUGUGGGAACACCGGGGCGAACUGGACGCCCAGCCCUCGGUCUCCUGACGAUCUCGUCUGGACAGUGGGAGGCACCAUAUUGACCCUUGCCUCCUGGAAGAGGCGCAUUAUGAAUCCGCACAGCCCCCACCCCCCCCUUCCGGAAAAGUUUUGAUGUUAAGAUGAGAAACUGAGGCAGAGAGAAGCAAGGCGCCACCGCUCGGUCACAUUUUGCAGUUAAACCCAACUUGGAAAACGCCAAGGGACGGCUCCGUGAUAGGUCCAAGCUCCGGACCUCCUUCCACCCCCUUCCCGCGCGCUGGCCAGAGGACCGGAGCGGCCUUCGGGGGGCGGGGCGGAGGGCCGGCCGAUGGCCCCGCCCCCUGACCCGGUCCCGCCCCCUCUUCUGGGUCCUAGUCCAGCCCAAUCUUCUCUCCCUCACACCUGGGGUAGCGAAGAGCUCCUGGGAGAACGCGGACCAGGCCAUGCCCAUCGCCAUAGAAGCGGGACACCCCAGGACCCCAACCCAGGGUCCAAGAGGUUCUGGGGCCAGGGGGCGCGCCCCGGGGUUAAGGCGGUGCCCCAGGCGGCACGUAGGCGGCACUUGUCCUUCUGCAGCGGCUCCGCUCGGGAUUUUCUUCCCAUUUGAGAGGCGGGAACAUCGAGGCGCAGAGAGGGCCAAGGGCCUGCCACAUGUCACCCUUCAGUCUCGGUCAGAACUGACAGCGAGAAUGGGAAGGAGGAAGAGGGGCGGGGGCGGCACAACGACCCCCACCGGGGGCCUCUCUGUCCCCUAAGUCCCCGCACCUGUGAAACAGAGGCGCGUUCACGCGGGCCUGUGUCCGAAGUAACAGUCCCGAGAGUCCUAAACUGAAGGGUCUGGGGCUCCUAGUUCCGAGGAAUGUUUCGGGGACGCCUUCGGGGAGGGUCCCCGGCGGGGCGCCCGGGCUGUGCGGGGCCCCGCCGCGCCCCCUCCCUCCCCUCGCGGCGGCCGCGCUCCUCCCCCGGCUCUGCCUCCCGCCC